CCAUUCCACUCGAUUUGAUUCCAUUCCAUUGCAUUCCAUUCCAUUCCAUUCCAUUCCAUUCCGUUCCAUUCCAUUCCAUUCCAUUCGGGUUGAUUCUAUUCAAUUCCUUUACACUCCAUUCCAUUCUAUUCAAUUCCACACAAUUCCAUUCCAUUCCAUUCCAUUCCAAUCGGGUUGAUUCCAUUCCAAUCCAUUCCAUUCCAUUCCAUUCCAUUCCAUUCCAUUCGUUUCCAUUCCAUUCCACUCGUGUUGAUUCCAUUCCAUUCCUUUCCAUUCCAUUCCAUUCCCUUCCAUUCCACUCGUGUUGAUACCAUUUCCAUUCCACUCGAUUACAUUGCCUUCCAUUCCACUCGGAAUGAUUCCAUUCCAUUCCAUUCCCUUCCAUUCCCUUCCAUUGCAUUCCAUUCCAAUCCAUUCCAUUCCAUUCCAUUCCACUCGAUUUGAUUCCAUUCCAUUCCUUUCCAUUCCAUUCCAUUCCGUUCCAUUCCAUUCCAUUCCAUUCGGGUUGAUUCUUUUCAAUUCCUUUACGCUCCAUCCCAUUCUAUUCAAUUCCACACAAUUCCUUUCCAUUCCUUUCCAUUCCAUUCGGGUUGAAACCAUUCCAUUCCAUUCCAUUCCACUCCAUUCCAUUCCAUCCCAUUCCAUUCCAUUGCAUUCGGGUUGAUUCCAUUCCGUUCCAUUCCAUUCCAUUGCAUUCCAUUCCAAUCCAUUCCAUUCCAUUCCAUUCCAGCCGAGUUGAUCCCAUUCCAUUCCAUUCCAUUCCAUUCAUUCCAUUCCAUUCCAUUCCAUUCCGUUGCAUUCCAUUCCAUUCAAUUCGGGGUGAUUCUAUUCAAUUCCUUUACACUCCAUUCCAUUCCAUUCCAUUCCACACAAUUCCAUUCCAUUCCAUACCAUACCAUUCCAAUUGGGUUGAAUCCAUUCCAUUCCAUUUCGUUCCAUUCCAUUCUAUUCCGUACCAUUCCACUCCUUUCCAUUCCAUUCCAUUCUAUGCCAU
This 994-nucleotide long non-coding RNA is filed under the name Homo sapiens (human). RNAcentral's name for it is "HSALNT0326462". Lineage: Eukaryota; Metazoa; Chordata; Mammalia; Primates; Hominidae. The record is from RNAcentral.